This 274-nucleotide ribosomal RNA is filed under the name uncultured bacterium. RNAcentral describes it as "partial 16S ribosomal RNA". It matches the Rfam family "Bacterial small subunit ribosomal RNA", at positions 523 to 796 of the family's 1533-position model. The record is from RNAcentral.
AUACGGAGGGUGCAAACGUUGUUCGGAAUCACUGGGCGUAAAGGGCGCGCAGGCGGUUUGAUUAGUCAGAUGUGAAAGCCCACGGCUUAACCGUGGAAGUGCAUUUGAAACUGUCAGACUUGAGUACCAGAGGGGGUAGUGGAAUUCCCGGUGUAGAGGUGAAAUUCGUAGAUAUCGGGAGGAAUACCGGUGGCGAAGGCGACUACCUGGCUGGAUACUGACGCUGAGGCGCGAAAGCGUGGGGAGCAAACAGGAUUAGAUACCCCAGUAGUCC